AGCAGCCGCGGUAAUUCCAGCUCCAAUAGCGUAUAUUAAAGUUGUUGCAGUUAAAAAGCUCGUAGUUGAAUUUCGGGGUUCUACCGUUGGUCGGGCAAUUGCCUGUACUGGCGUGUGGAAUUUCUACCUUCUGGGGAACUAUCAUGUUAUUAAUUUAACGUGGUGGGAAACCAGGACCUUUACCUUGAAAAAAUUAGAGUGUUCAAAGCAGGCUUAUGUCUGAAUACAUUAGCAUGGAAUAAUAAAAUAGGACGGUGGUCCUGUUUUGUUGGUUUCUGAAUCACCGUAAUGAUUAAUAGGGAUAGUUGGGGGCAUUAGUAUUCAAUUGUCAGAGGUGAAAUUCUUGGAUUUAG
This 353-nucleotide ribosomal RNA is filed under the name uncultured Racocetra. RNAcentral's name for it is "SSU rRNA". It matches the Rfam family "Eukaryotic small subunit ribosomal RNA", at positions 569 to 929 of the family's 1831-position model. The record is from RNAcentral. Lineage: Eukaryota; Fungi; Glomeromycota; Glomeromycetes; Diversisporales; Gigasporaceae.